AUUGACUAGCUUGAGUCCGACCGGAGAGCAUCAAGGCCCGCAGAGCCCGCGCUAAGUCUCGGCGGCGGCGCCCAGGGCUGAGCCGUGGUAGCCCUGGUGUUUAGAGGGUGUCUUCCUCUAGAAAGAGAAAAGUUUGGCAGUGAUUUGAUUUCAACUGGGGAUAGGAUGUAAAGCCAGGCGUGGGGAAUCACCGUAUACUUUGCAGAGAGAGGCAGCUGCGGUCUUCCUGGUGCCUUCUAGUCCACACACCAACCCACGUCGUCAGCUUACACACAGACACACACAGACACACACACACACACACACACACACACAAACACUGGGCCAAGGGAGUUGCGGAUUUUCUGACUCCUUGUGCACUCAUCUGGAGGUGCGGAGUGGGUGCGUGCGCGCGCAUGCGUGCGCGCGCCCGAGAGAGAGCGAGAGAGAGAGAGAGAGAGAGAGAGAGAGAGAGAGAGAGAGAGAGAGAGAGAGAGAGCGUGUGUGUGUGUGUGUGUGUGUGUGUGUGUGUGGUGUAUGUACGCGUUUUCUCACGGUGGGAUGUUUAUUUCGGUGAACGCCAGGAAAGUGCAGUGUUAGAGAUCUGUCUGUGCUAGCUAGCUCGGGAGCAAACACGCCGCAAGCAACUGUAAUCAAUAUGUAACUUUCUUCAUCCUCAGAGAAAUCCCCGCUGUCCCCAGGCACCCAUGCAAGGAAAGUCACUUGAUUAUGAAAGUGUUUCAGAAGAAAAGCAGACGCCGGUGGAGAGAGAGGCAGUGUCUCGAAGGAGGGAACAAGCCUCUCUUAAGACAUGUUUUGCAGCUCCAUGAAACUGAAAUCUGGUUGAACAGUGUUUAGACUUCUACCUUUUAACCAUCUCCUAUCACAGCCCACAUUCAAGCUUUAGAAUCUCAAAGCUUGCUUUUGUCUGAACUGCUUUCACAAACAUCCACAAGUUACGAUCAGUUUUGGUUCUGAUCUAGCAGUUCUGGAGCAGAGUUAAGAGGGACAAAGGAAAACAAUCCGUUGAAAUAGAGAAGGCACUGGUUGGGAAAUUCAUGAGAAAGGAAACUGACUCUUAGAAAACAUGCCAGGUUAAAGGGUUCUGACAUUGACAACAGAAGAAAAAAGGUGAGCUGAAGAAGGACAGCAGCAAUAGACAUGCAAAUGCAGAUGGAGGAAAGCCAAGGCUGGCUAAGGACAACAAAAGAAUGUGAGAGGAGAUGAAAUAAUCUUUCACAAGGAAGAGCUCACAAAUUGAUUAUCCAAUACUAACUUGUCAGUCUUUAAAACACAUACAUAGAAAUAACAUCAUACAGACUGUGCACGUUGUGCUAAGCAUUGAAUAAUGUAUGUAUAUGUGUGCAUGCACAUGUGUGUGUGUGUGUGUGUGUGUGUGUGUAGCAAUAUUUAGUGAAAAAAGAAGUCUUGAAUUUGAGAGGAGAACACCAGGAAGAAAGAAAAGAAGUAAAAAUAAUGUUAAUUAAAAUGUGAAAAAUCAAAGAAAGAAAAACAUGUCAGUUAAUAGAAUGAAAUAUGGAGGCAGGAGGGUCACAAACUUAUGAACAUUUUAGAUUGUAUAACAUGACUGCCUAAAAAUCCUAAACCAUAGAAAUCAGCAAUAAAAACUUAAAAAACAAUCAGAUUUUUAGAGAAAAGAGACAAAGAACUUUUAUGACUCUACUACGUCAGCCAUUUGCAACAAAUUCUUCUUUGUGUCCUUUGUCUGGAUUUCUGCCUAAUAUCACUUUUAGCUUUCAGUUUAUGUAUUCUUGUUAUCUCAGUAAUACUCUGUGCAUUUCUUUGUUUCUCCAUAAACUUUCUCAAGCUUCAAAGACUUGUUGUAAUUGACAUUAUUUUCACUCAUGGUUUUAAAAAAUAUUGUUACCUAUUCAACUCUGCAAAGUUCCUUUAGUUGAAAACAUUCUUCCAUGACAAUAAAUCAAUUGGUCAUAUGCUUUUGCUCGCGUUGGGGACCUUGACCUGCUCCUGGGUUGCUUCCUCCGCCCUUAAUAUGAAAGAAGGUGACUAGUCUUACUUCAACUUGAUAUGCCGUGUUUAGUUGAUAGUCCUGGGAGGUUUAGCCUUUUUGGAAGGAAAACAGUGAAGAAUAGAUAGGAAGGGAAGAGGAGGUGGGGUAGGAGUGGGAAGUGGGAGACUGGAUCAACAAGAGGGACGGGAACCUAUAUUUAGGAUUCAAUUAUAUGAGGAUAAAUUAAUAGACAAAACCAAAACAAUCCUCCCAAAAAUCAACAAAAAUUUGACUGGUCAUAAAUGGGUGUGAAAGAUAAUCCUUCUGAUUACCUCAUUGAAAUCAACUCUGACGAAGGCUGUUCCAUAGGGUACAGAUUGUAUAUUUUUAUUAUUUUAGUUUUGGACAUUUAUUCCCAACCUUUUUAAUAUAUGGUCAUUAUUUUCAGUGGAUGUAAGUGCUUCAAUAAAGCAAGAGAUGUUUAACAUA
RNAcentral lists this long non-coding RNA (2440 nucleotides) under Mus musculus (house mouse). RNAcentral's name for it is "predicted gene, 32498, transcript variant 4 (Gm32498)". Lineage: Eukaryota; Metazoa; Chordata; Mammalia; Rodentia; Muridae. The record is from RNAcentral.